AUUGAACGCUGGCGGCAGGCUUAACACAUGCAAGUCGAGCGAGCGGCGGACGGGUGAGUAAUGUCUGGGAAACUGCCUGAUGGAGGGGGAUAACUCCUGGAAACGGUAGCUAAUACCGCAUACCAUCAGAUGUGCCCAGAUGGGAUUAGCUAGUAGGUGGGGUAAUGGCUCCCCUAGGCGACGAUCCCUAGCUGGUCUGAGAGGAUGCACAGCAACACUGGAACUGAGACACGGUCCAGACUCCUACGGUAGGCAGCAGUGGGGAAUAUUUGACAAUGGGCGCAAGCCUGGUGCAGCCAUGCCGCGUGUGUGAAGAAGGCCUUCGGGUUGUAAAGCACUUUCAGCGAGGAGGCGGUACUCGCAGAAGAAGCACCGGCUAACUCCGUGCCAGCAGCCGCGGUAAUAC
RNAcentral lists this ribosomal RNA (406 nucleotides) under uncultured bacterium. Its description in RNAcentral is "partial 16S ribosomal RNA". It matches the Rfam family "Bacterial small subunit ribosomal RNA", at positions 30 to 526 of the family's 1533-position model. The record is from RNAcentral.